This is a non-coding RNA of Schizosaccharomyces pombe (fission yeast), 684 nucleotides long. NCBI's taxonomy places the organism in Eukaryota, Fungi, Ascomycota, Schizosaccharomycetes, Schizosaccharomycetales, Schizosaccharomycetaceae. The record is from the annotation of a GenBank genome assembly.
UGUGUAUAUUUAUAACGUAGCCGCAAACUCAACUUUCUAAAGCAAGCGUUUGUCCGAUUAUCGCUUUUUUUUAUUCUUUUGAUCCCUUGAAUCCCUGAUAAACAAGUGCUUAACUUAUAAAAUGCUACUUGCUUAAAAUCUAUCUGCCUUUUUCUAGGAAACUGCAAAAAAUUGCGUUGCCGAAUGCUGAUGCUCUAAAGUAAUAGAAUAAGGAAUUCGUUGAUUUCCGUUUAGCAAAAUAUAGGUAGUUGGUAUGUCAAACAAUAUGGUGUGAUGCAUAUGCACCCACGAGCACUUGCUAGUGCAACUAUUUACGCCUAGAAGUCACCUCCAUAGAAAAUUAAAAAUGGACUGAAAAGGUGAAACGGAUUAAAAUAAAAAUCAUAAUAAAAUCAGUUUGAAAUAUAAUCCUUCAGUCAACUUUGAUUUGUUUUCCAUAAUGGGCAACGUCAGCAUUAUUUACAAUUCGGUUCAACAAGCGUGAGAAAUUAACAAAAAUGAGGUUUUUUAGCAGGAAAUAUGACAGUUUUUUUGCAUUGAGUUUAAUUUUUCAUUCUAACUCUUUUGAAGGAAGUAUCAGAAAGUGAACCUUGAAUUUUGGUAAUUAAUGCUAACAACUUUAUCCCACUGAUUUGCAUACCCUGUAUAACCUUACUCUUUAUAAUGAUAUGUAUUGCAUUAAAG